Molecule: long non-coding RNA, 1967 nt
Organism: Amaranthus tricolor (Joseph's coat)
Lineage: Eukaryota; Viridiplantae; Streptophyta; Magnoliopsida; Caryophyllales; Amaranthaceae
Exons: 3
Source: RefSeq, a predicted model, not a curated record
AGAUUGGUAAAUUAGAGCAAAAAAUUCGCUCUUAAGCGGGAUAAGGCAAAUUAAAGCUCGACUCUUCGCCUCCAUUUCCUCAUGUCUACUGCAAUCCUCAACUGUACAUCUCCUCACAGUAGUAAAAUCAUGUUAAUGGAUUGAAAGUGUCCUUCCCAUCCUAAUUCUGCGGCCAACAAUCGAUGACGCUCAUUCUUGGCUUCCCGAUCCUGCGAAAGCUGCACAUCUCCCUCAAAAUGAGGUAUGGUUUCUUUAGGUUUAACGAACGGUACUUCAGGAUAAUCGAAUUGCUUAAAGAACUCAAAUUCUUCCAUAUUAGUUUCUUAAUUCUACCUUAAUUGAUGGAUUGUGGUUUAGGUUAAUCGAAUGGCAAUUGAUGAUGACAAAUUUCCAGAACCGGUUGUUUAUUACUCUUUCUUUCUUCUUUAGUUUUCAGUUUCUUUGUUCUGUACGUUCUUUUCCUCUUCACGUGUUCUUUCAUUUCUCUUAUUUUUCAAAGAAUUGGAUUGUGCUUGUAUUGUGGAUAAAUGAAUUGGAUUUUGAUUUUUUAUGCUUGUGUUUAUGUGAAUUGCGUUUUUCAAUUUCAUGUCAUUUCUGCUAUUGGGUUUAUGAUUAGUCCAACCAGUUACCUGUGUUAUUCCUGUGCGUCGAAGAUAUGUUUAUUCCAACCAGUUACCUGUGUUAUUUUUGCAGCAUUUCAAUGUGAAAUUAAUUAGUUUUGCAGCAUUUCAAUGUAUAAUUAGUCUAUUGGAUUGGGUACCUUACUGAUUAAAGUUCCAUCAUUCAACGGGAACUGCAAUUUAGUCUAUUGGGUACCUUUUUAAUUUUCAUUUCUAUCAAGUAUGUGCCUUACUGAUUAAAUUUCCAACAUUCAACUACAACUACUAUAAAGAUACAUAUACAUCUCAAUAUUUUGAUGACGAAAUUUUUGCUACAGGAAUGCUAAAUCACACAUUGCCCGAAUCAGCCAAUCUAGUUGCCUAGCUAGUUGCCUAGUGUAGGAAAGGUAGCUAGUUGCCUAGCUUUCAAAUUGCUUGAUGGAGGCUGAACACACACCAUAUAAUUCGGGACUUGUAAAUGGACAGUCAAUCUGGCGUCAUACGCGAACAAUCUUAUAUAGUAAUGAUUUAUUAUAUCUGUAAAACUCUCGAUUUCGUGCAAUUGUUUGUUUGUCAGUUUGAAAUGUUGGCUUUUAUAUUUUCUAAAUCUGUUUUUCUUAUAUCUGUUGUUGUCCAUCCAGUUGGAGUCCCAUUUACGUCCUUUGUCUCUUUUAGUAGAAUGGUACAAACAUGUAAAUUUGGUCACUACUAAGGGUUCCGUUGCCCUGUGGCCAGUUCACUUGCUACGUCAAAGAAUGUAAUUAACUAAAAAAGGUGAGAUAUUCCAAAUCCAAGUCUAAAUCAUCAGCUGCUGGUAGGGGAUUGAGCUUAUAUUGGUGGAGAGGGGGUAAAGCUUUUCAGAAUCUCUUUCACCGGAAUACCUCACUUCUUGGCUUUGAAAGCAUCCCAAAAAGCUGGUGGCAUGAAGAUACCAGACAUACAAUAUCUUGAAGCUUCAGAAAAUGUGUAGCGAACCAGAUUUAUUGCAUUGCGUGCUGCUGUGGAAUCAUCCACAAGGCUCGAGCAGCUGGCUUUGCAGGUUUUAACUUUUUCACGUAGCAGACAUAAAAUGCAGAAGCAAACUUGUGCGAUACUCUCCAAGAUUAUUAUUGAGUUCAUAUGUUUUAGAAAAUCUCAAUAUAAACUAUAUUGUAAAAACUUUUUAAUUUGUUUGAGAUGGUUUAUGGUUAUUAUUUUGUAAUGGUUAUCAAUUUUGAUAUUUAAACAUAUUCUCCAUGUUAUUAAUUUGCGCCAAUAUAAUGAAAAAUUGUAAAUUACUUUUUAGGUUUGAGUAUAUAUUAAUCAUAAUCUUUUGGUUGAUGAAUAAAUUAUGGCUUGAUAGCUUGAUUAGGGAAAAAUGUAUAUUGC